This 1142-nucleotide long non-coding RNA is filed under the name Macaca mulatta (Rhesus monkey). Its description in RNAcentral is "lncRNA (ENSMMUG00000064924.1)". Lineage: Eukaryota; Metazoa; Chordata; Mammalia; Primates; Cercopithecidae. The record is from RNAcentral.
GCAAACAGAACGUGAGCCCCCCAAGGACGGAGCAACUCCUGGACCCCACUGGAUCAACAAGGCUUGUUCUUCUGGAUCUCAGAUGCCAUGGCGCAUUCUUUCAAAGGACGGUUAUAGAAACAAGCAGAUCAUUUCCCCAAAAAGGCCCAUUCCCACGUUUACCGAUGGAAAAGUACAUCACUUAGGAGGUCCUGCUAUGAUCCUGCUAUGUUACCUAAGCUGGUCUCAAGCCAUCCUCCUGCCUCAGCCUCCCGAAGUGCCAAGAUUACAGGCAUGAGCCACUGCACACCCAGCAUGCCAUGUGACAUCUGAGGCUAGAUUAUAAGAAUGUCGUGAGCUUCCACCGGGCUUUCAUGGACAAGAUGCUAACUCUUGGAACUCAGCCACCAUGUUGUGAGGAAGUCCAAGUCAUCCCACAUGGAGAGGCAUGUGAAGGUGCUCUAGCUCACAGCCCAGCUGAGGUCCUGGCUGACAGCCUGCAUCAGCUGCCAGGCAUGAGUGAAGAUGCUUCCAGAUGAUUCUAGCUCCCUCUCAUCAGAUCACUCAACUUGGAUUCUUCCCAGCAGAGGCUCCAGAAAUCAUAGAGCAGAGAUCACCUCUUCCUGCUCUGCUUUGUCCAAGUUAUGGGCUGUAAAAUCUAUGAGCAUGAUAAUAUGAUUGUUUUACACCAGAAAGUUUUGGGGGUGGUUUGUGACAUAGCAACUGGUACAGAAAUUAUUUGCUAACAAGCAGGCAUCUCUCUCAAGGGGGAAAGUCUUAUGGUCAUUUUUGCGCCCUUUACUGGGGCAAAUAUGAUUGGUAGGGACGAUGCCCAUCAUAGCACCAUUGCUUCAUCAGAGGCCGUUUGGAUCAGUGAGCCCUUCCGUGUUCUUUAGUGACAAUAUGUUAAUAUAUUUUACUAGUCCAUUUCCUACUGACUAGAAUAUCAGUUCCCUGUGAUAAGUUUUCCCCCAUUUUGUUUGUUCCUAUAUCCCCAAAACCCAAACUAGUACAGUUGCUCCUCAACUUAUGAUGCGGUUACCUCCCAAUAAACCCACCACAAAGUUGAAAAAUCCUAAGUUGAACCAUCUUAAGUUGAGGACCAUUUGUGCUUGGUAAUUGCUCAAUAAAUAAUUGUCAGAUGAAUGGUUACAAAACAAACA